RNAcentral lists this ribosomal RNA (1073 nucleotides) under uncultured bacterium. RNAcentral describes it as "bacterial SSU rRNA". It matches the Rfam family "Bacterial small subunit ribosomal RNA", at positions 8 to 1097 of the family's 1533-position model. The record is from RNAcentral.
AGAGUUUGAUCCUGGCUCAGGACGAACGCUGGCGGCGUGCUUAACACAUGCAAGUCGAACGAGGCAGCGGCCUUCGGGCCGUUGUUGAGUGGCGAACGGGUGAGUAACACGUGAGGAACCUGCCCCGGAGAUCGGGACAACCAGAGGAAACUCUGGCUAAUACCGGAUGCCCCCGGAUGGUCGCAUGGCCAACCGAGGAAAUGCUCAGGUGCUCCGGGAGGGCCUCGCGGCCUAUCAGCUUGUUGGUUGGGGUAACGGCCCACCAAGGCAUCGACGGGUAGCUGGUCUGAGAGGACGAUCAGCCACACUGGGACUGAGACACGGCCCAGACUCCUACGGGAGGCAGCAGUGGGGAAUAUUGCGCAAUGGGCGAAAGCCUGACGCAGCAACGCCGCGUGGGGGAUGAAGGCCUUCGGGUUGUAAACCCCUUUCAGCAGGGACGAAAAUGACGGUACCUGCAGAAGAAGCCCCGGCCAACUACGUGCCAGCAGCCGCGGUAACACGUAGGGGGCAAGCGUUGUCCGGAUUUAUUGGGCGUAAAGAGCUCGUASGCGGUUGCGUAAGUCGGAUGUGAAAACUCAGGGCUCAACCCGGAGACGCCAUCCGAUACUGCGCUGACUAGAGUCCGGUAGAGGAGCAUGGAAUUCCUGGUGUAGCGGUGAAAUGCGCAGAUAUCAGGAGGAACACCAGUAGCGAAGGCGGUGCUCUGGGCCGGAACUGACGCUGAGGAGCGAAAGCGUGGGUAGCGAACAGGAUUAGAUACCCUGGUAGUCCACGCCGUAAACGUUGGGCACUAGGUGUGGGGCCUCCUUAACGGGCUCCGUGCCGUAGCUAACGCAUUAAGUGCCCCGCCUGGGGAGUACUGCCGCAAGGCUAAAACUCAAAGGAAUUGACGGGGGCCCGCACAAGCGGCCGAGCAUGUUGCUUAAUUCGAGGCAACGCGAAGAACCUUACCUGGGUUUGACAUGCACGGAAAAGCCAUAGAGAUAUGGUGUCCUUCGGGGCCGUGCGCAGGUGAUGCAUGGCUGUCGUCAGCUCGUGUCUGGAGAUGUUGGGUUAAGUCCCGCACGAGC